RNAcentral lists this RNase P RNA (412 nucleotides) under bovine gut metagenome. RNAcentral's name for it is "Bacterial RNase P class A". It matches the Rfam family "Bacterial RNase P class A". Rfam says of the family: Ribonuclease P (RNase P) is a ubiquitous endoribonuclease, found in archaea, bacteria and eukarya as well as chloroplasts and mitochondria. Its best characterised activity is the generation of mature 5'-ends of tRNAs by cleaving the 5'-leader elements of precursor-tRNAs. The record is from RNAcentral.
CAGUCGGAUAAUCGCGCGGGGUAAAUUAAUACCUUGUGAGGAAAGUCCGUGCAUCCAAGGACAGCUCGCCGGAGAAACUCCGGACGGCGUGAGCCGGUGGAUCGGACCACAGAAAGGGGGUGGGGUAAAUAUAAUUACCUCUAUCCCAAAAGACUACCGAUGGAUUGUGGUUUUUCCAUAUAUCACAGGUGAUGGUGCAAAGGUGAGGUAAGAGCUCACCGGAUAUACUGAGAAGUAUAUGCCAGGCAACCCCCGAGCGGAUGCAAGAUUGAAACAAGCGUUUGAGGUGUCCGCCAAGCUUGAAAAAUCGCUAGAGAUUAGGAGUAAUCCUAAUACCAGACAGAUGAUUAUCGGGAUUUUUCUUCCCCUGCAUAGUUAGCAGAGAAACAGAACACGGCUUAUGAGCUGCUUU